CGGGCCAGUAUUAAGCAUUACCCCGUGGUGGGGUUCCCGAGCGAUCAUAAGGGAGCUGACUGCAAAUCUGCCGUCAUCGACUUCAAGGUUCGACUCGAGCAAUAGUGAGAGAACGUUGCCGCAGGCAACGGCCCGAAGGGUGAGGAGCUUUAGCUCCGAAUAAUCCUUCCCGCUAUAGAA
This 180-nucleotide non-coding RNA is filed under the name Salmonella enterica subsp. enterica serovar Kentucky str. CVM29188. RNAcentral's name for it is "RtT RNA". The stretch from base 39 to 180 matches the Rfam family "RtT RNA". From Rfam's summary of the family: This family represents a bacterial cis-regulatory element known as RtT RNA. The exact function of RtT is unknown although it is thought that it may be involved in changing the cellular response in relation to amino acid starvation. Lineage: Bacteria; Pseudomonadati; Pseudomonadota; Gammaproteobacteria; Enterobacterales; Enterobacteriaceae. The record is from RNAcentral. RNAcentral also lists the same sequence under 9 other names.